CUAAUUUACAAGCAUCUAAGUACUAUUUUCUUCAUAUCUCACAAAUCCAAAAUCUAAAUAUCACAAAACUUAUGUGCAAAGUUUGAUUAUAUGAAAAUACACAUUCUUGGAAAUUCUUAGCUAAAAACUUGUCAAAUUGUAUAAGAUAUAGCUCAAAAUACAACUAUUAGCAAUUCGAGUUACUUACUACCCUUAGAUCUGUAAGUACUGACUUUAACCUCCA
This 223-nucleotide long non-coding RNA is filed under the name Physcomitrium patens. RNAcentral describes it as "long non-coding RNA (PPAT_LNC002750)". The record is from RNAcentral. Lineage: Eukaryota; Viridiplantae; Streptophyta; Bryopsida; Funariales; Funariaceae.